GAUCCUGGCUCAGGAUGAACGCUGGCGGCGUGCCUAACACAUGCAAGUCGAACGAAGCAAUUAAGAUGAAGUUUUCGGAUGGAAUCUUGAUUGACUGAGUGGCGGACGGGUGAGCAACGCGUGGAUAACCUGCCUCACACUGGGGGAUAACAGUUAGAAAUGACUGCUAAUACCGCAUAAGCGCACAGUGCCGCAUGGCAGUGUGUGAAAAACUCCGGUGGU
RNAcentral lists this ribosomal RNA (222 nucleotides) under uncultured bacterium. RNAcentral describes it as "partial 16S ribosomal RNA". It matches the Rfam family "Bacterial small subunit ribosomal RNA", at positions 15 to 219 of the family's 1533-position model. The record is from RNAcentral.